This is a long non-coding RNA of Thunnus maccoyii (southern bluefin tuna), 685 nucleotides long. RefSeq lists it as uncharacterized. NCBI's taxonomy places the organism in Eukaryota, Metazoa, Chordata, Actinopteri, Scombriformes, Scombridae. The transcript is spliced from 3 exons. The record is from RefSeq and is a predicted model, not a curated record.
UGGUCGUCAUCAUCUGAUUUUUCUCGUCCUGUUUUGGAGCCAGAAAUUGACAAAGACAGUCCGUGAGUGCUGUGUGUGGAUGUUGGAACUGUGCGAUGGAGAGGCCAAACUUGACGAUGACCACGUCGGUGACGUUGCGCGCCGGACGCGACCACUUGUUGUAGCCCCCAAACAAACUCCUGAAGAGCUCGUCCUCAGUGUGGACACGAGUCCAGUCUUCAGCCAGCACUGACAGAGAGAUGGAGAGGAGAGAUUAUUCCCAGCUCUCCAGGUUUUCUGACAGCCAUCGCUCAUCAUCAGAGGAUGAGAUUUAAUCUCAAUUUAAAAGCUUUGAACUCUGGCAAGCAAUCUGGCAUCACCAGCAAGCAAUUUAGGAUUAGCCAGUGCAAGAAACAGUGAGCCAAGAGCACAAACUGUGCAAAAUGUGUGUAAUGCCAGUUUUUGUGAUUAUAUUGGCUAUUUAUAACCGACAAAAUGAUGUUGCAGGUAAGGGUUUGCCAGCGGGGGAGAGACAGAUGUGUUGCCGUUUGUGUCCCAGGAUUCAGACAUGAGACGCUGAAUGUCUGCAGAGUACUUUGUGGUUUUGUGAUAUUUAUCCUGUUACUGUAUCUUGUAUUUACAACUAAUAAUUGUGGUUUAACUCGUCUGUUGUUGAUACGUAUCAGUUUCUGCUCAGCAAGACAUU